GACGGAGGGUGCAAGCGUUGUUCGGAUUGACUGGGCGUAAAGGGCGUGUAGGCGGUUGGUCAAGUCUGAUGUGAAAGCCCGGGGCUCAGCCCCGGAAGGGCAUCGGAAACUAGCCAGCUGGAGCGCGAUAGAGGAGGGUGGAAUUCCAGGUGUAGCGGUGAAAUGCGUAGAUAUCUGGAGGAACACCGGUGGCGAAGGCGGCAUCCUGGACCGACACUGACGCUGAGGAGCGAAAGCCAGGGGAGCAAACGGG
RNAcentral lists this ribosomal RNA (253 nucleotides) under uncultured bacterium. Its description in RNAcentral is "partial 16S ribosomal RNA". It matches the Rfam family "Bacterial small subunit ribosomal RNA", at positions 524 to 776 of the family's 1533-position model. The record is from RNAcentral.